AUACGUAGGGGGCGAGCGUUGUCCGGAAUGAUUGGGCGUAAAGGGCGCGUAGGCGGCCCGGUAAGUCUGGAGUGAAAGUCCUGUUUUUAAGAUGGGAAUUGCUUUGGAUACUGUCGGGCUUGAGUGCAGGAGAGGUAAGUGGAAUUCCCAGUGUAGCGGUGAAAUGCGUAGAGAUUUGGAGGAACACCAGUGGCGAAGGCGACUUACUGGACUGUAACUGACGCUGAGGCGCGAAAGUGUGGGGAGCAAACAGGAUUAGAUACCCUGGUAGUCCACACUGUAAACGAUGAAUGCUAGGUGUAGGGGGUAUCGACCCCUUCUGUGCCGCAGUCAACACAAUAAGCAUUCCGCCUGGGGAGUACGGCCGCAAGGUUGAAACUCAAAUGAAUUGACGGGG
RNAcentral lists this ribosomal RNA (397 nucleotides) under uncultured bacterium. RNAcentral describes it as "partial 16S ribosomal RNA". It matches the Rfam family "Bacterial small subunit ribosomal RNA", at positions 523 to 918 of the family's 1533-position model. The record is from RNAcentral.